CCUACGGUCGGCAGCAGUGAGGAAUAUUGGUCAAUGGGCUUACGCCUGAACCAGCCAAGUCGCGUGAGGGAAUACGGUCCUAUGGAUUGUCAACCUCUUUAGGCGGGGAGCCCUGCCGGGCACGCGUGCCCGGAGUGAGAGUACCCGCAGCAUAAGCAUCGGCUAACUCCGUGCCAGCAGCCGCGGUAAUACGGAGGCUGCGAGCUUUCUCCGGAUUUAUUGGGUUUACAGGGUGCGUAGGCGGAUUUUUUAAGUCAGCGGUAAAAUGUCCGGGCUCAACCCGGGCCGGCCGUUGAAACUGGGGAUCUUGAGUGGGAGAGAAGUAUGCGGAAUGCGUGGUGUAGCGGUGAAAUGCAUAGAUAUCACGCAGAACUCCGAUUGCGAAGGCAGCAUACCGGCGCCCGACUGACGCUGAGGCACGAAAGCGUGGGGAUCGAACAGGAUUAGAUACCCCAGUAGUC
This 461-nucleotide ribosomal RNA is filed under the name uncultured bacterium. RNAcentral's name for it is "partial 16S ribosomal RNA". It matches the Rfam family "Bacterial small subunit ribosomal RNA", at positions 338 to 795 of the family's 1533-position model. The record is from RNAcentral.